AAAUCGUGGUAUGGGCAACAUCUCAGCAGGUCCUUGUACCUCUCCCACGCAUCAUACAUGCUCUCAUUAUCAAACUACUCAAAAGAAGAAUAUUAUUACGCAUCU
Molecule: non-coding RNA, 105 nt
Organism: Ricinus communis (castor bean)
Lineage: Eukaryota; Viridiplantae; Streptophyta; Magnoliopsida; Malpighiales; Euphorbiaceae
Source: Rfam